CCCUUAGAUGUUCUGGGCUGCACGCGCGCUACACUGAUGCACUCAUCGAGUUUAUGACCUUGUCCGAUAGGAUUGGGUAAUCUUCUUAAAAUGCAUCGUGAUGGGGAUAGAUUAUUGCAAUUAUUAAUCUUCAACGAGGAAUUCCUAGUAAGCGCGAGUCAUCAGCUCGUGCUGAUUACGUCCCUGCCCUUUGUACACACCGCCCGUCGCUCCUACCGAUUGAGCGAUCCGGUGAAUAAUUCGGACUGCAGCAAUGUUUGGAUCCCGAACGUUGCAGUGGAAAGUUUAGUGAACCUUAUCACUUAGAGGAAGGAGAAGUCGUAACA
Molecule: ribosomal RNA, 326 nt
Filed under: uncultured eukaryote
Lineage: Eukaryota
Description: partial 18S ribosomal RNA
Rfam family: Eukaryotic small subunit ribosomal RNA
Source: RNAcentral